UACGUAGGGUGCAAGCGUUGUCCGGAAUUAUUGGGCGUAAAGAGCUCGUAGGCGGCUUGUGCGUCGACUGUGAAAACCCGCGGCUUAACUGCGGGCUUGCAGUCGAUACGGGCAGACUAGAGUGCGGUAGGGGUGACUGGAAUUCCUGGUGUAGCGGUGGAAUGCGCAGAUAUCAGGAGGAACACCGAUGGCGAAGGCAGGUCACUGGGCCGCAACUGACGCUGAGGAGCGAAAGCAUGGGGAGCGAACAGG
Molecule: ribosomal RNA, 252 nt
Filed under: uncultured bacterium
Lineage: Bacteria
Description: partial 16S ribosomal RNA
Rfam family: Bacterial small subunit ribosomal RNA
Source: RNAcentral